CAGAAUGACGUCAGGGUGAUACAGAGAUACAGAACGGCGUCCAUCUUUGAUUUGAUACAGAUAUUAUCAUCUCUACAGAGGAUGAAAUCCAUAAAUAAAUAUUAUUUGAAUAAUUCUCUAUUAUAUCAGUGUUUAAUGAUAUUUAGAUAGUUUUUAAUAUUGGUUUCAAUUGACCUACAGAUUUUUUGGUUAUUUUUUUUUGACUGAAAAUUGUACUCAACUCAAAAUGAAUUGAGGUUAUGAAAAUAUUAACCAUCGAUAACCAAUUUUUGGAAUUUUUAGUCUGAAUCUAAAUUUAAAAGAGGAAUAGGACAGUUUUUAUCUCAUCUCUCCGAUCAUUUUGAUUUAAAUUAUAUGUGGAAAUAAUUAAAGAAUGAAACUGUUAAUUUGGUAAACAGAUACAGGAAUUUGGAGUUGCUUGGUAUGGAUUGUAAGACACAGAAGAAGACGCAUUUAGAUGUUUUUGGAUCUUGAAUCUUGAUGCUCACAGAAAAGCAAGUCAACCAGACAGGCUCUGAAAAUUGAUGAAAUGGAACAAAUUAUUUGGACAAGACACUAGAAAAAUUCUACUCGGUCGGUUUUGAAAUCAUACCUCAAGAAACUUGCGAGAUCUUCGUCUGCACUGCACUAGCAUUUCAGGGUUUGUUGGAGGCGAACGACAUCCACAACAAUGGGAUAGCGGGGUUCGGGCGCCAACCCGACAGUGACAGUGGUGCACUGCGAGAUCCACCACGGACAGACGGGUGGCUUGUACGGGCUCGGCCAGUUCAUCGACAACCGCAUCCAUUCCCACAGCAACCCCACCGCAACGAGAUCUACAACGGCCAUCAGGGUGGCGUCUUCAUCUUGGGCGAAGGCCGCGGCUUGAUCGAGCAUAACAAUAUCUAUGUGACUCAAUGUGGAUUGUGAAGACACAGAAGGGGACGCAUUUGGAUCUUGAAUCAUGAAUGUUGAAUCUUGAUGCUCACAGAAAAGGAAGUCAACCAGACAGGAUUGAGACCACAAUAGGAGGCAUAAAGUCCCUUGAUAAUUUUGAAAACAGAGACGUUAUAGUGAGGUCCACGUUAUAAUGGCAGUGGAGGAAAGUAGGAGAACAACGUUGCCAAUUAUCUGCCUUGCCACUGCCUUCUGAAGAGGAUAGCUUGGUCAAUUUUACCACCAACUUUGGUCAAUAUCUAUAGUUAGUUCCUAAAGGUAGUGGAGAAAA
Nilaparvata lugens (brown planthopper) is the source of this 1207-nucleotide RNA transcript. RefSeq lists it as uncharacterized. The record is from RefSeq and is a predicted model, not a curated record. Lineage: Eukaryota; Metazoa; Arthropoda; Insecta; Hemiptera; Delphacidae. The transcript has 6 exons.